Small nuclear RNA from Microtus oregoni (creeping vole), 107 nucleotides. The record is from RefSeq and is a predicted model, not a curated record. NCBI's taxonomy places the organism in Eukaryota, Metazoa, Chordata, Mammalia, Rodentia, Cricetidae.
GUGCUUGCUUCGGCAGCACAUAUACUAAAAUUGGAACGAUACAGAGAAGACUAGCAUGGCCCCUGAAAAAAAAAAAAAAGAAAAAUAAAAAAAAAAUCACUAGACCC